CCUACGGGUGGCAGCAGUGAGGAAUAUUGGUCAAUGGACGAGAGUCUGAACCAGCCAAGUAGCGUGAAGGAUGACUGCCCUAUGGGUUGUAAACUUCUUUUAUAUGGGAAUAAAACGUUCCACGUGUGGGAUUUUGUAUGUACCAUAUGAAUAAGGAUCGGCUAACUCCGUGCCAGCAGCCGCGGUAAUACGGAGGAUCCGAGCGUUAUCCGGAUUUAUUGGGUUUAAAGGGAGCGUAGGUGGAUUGUUAAGUCAGUUGUGAAAGUUUGCGGCUCAACCGUAAAAUUGCAGUUGAAACUGGCAGUCUUGAGUACAGUAGAGGUGGGCGGAAUUCGUGGUGUAGCGGUGAAAUGCUUAGAUAUCACGAAGAACUCCGAUUGCGAAGGCAGUUCACUGGACUGCAACUGACACUGAGGCUCGAAAGUGUGGGUAUCAAACAGGAUUAGAUACCCCUGUAGUU
RNAcentral lists this ribosomal RNA (460 nucleotides) under uncultured bacterium. Its description in RNAcentral is "partial 16S ribosomal RNA". It matches the Rfam family "Bacterial small subunit ribosomal RNA", at positions 338 to 795 of the family's 1533-position model. The record is from RNAcentral.